RNAcentral lists this ribosomal RNA (468 nucleotides) under uncultured bacterium. RNAcentral's name for it is "partial 16S ribosomal RNA". It matches the Rfam family "Bacterial small subunit ribosomal RNA", at positions 28 to 507 of the family's 1533-position model. The record is from RNAcentral.
GAUGAACGCUGGCGGCGUGCUUAACACAUGCAAGUCGAACGGAAAGGCCCAAGCUUGCUUGGGUACUCGAGUGGCGAACGGGUGAGUAACACGUGGGUGAUCUGCCCUGCACUUCGGGAUAAGCCUGGGAAACUGGGUCUAAUACCGGAUAGGACGAUGGUUUGGAUGCCAUUGUGGAAAGUUUUUUCGGUGUGGGGUGAGCUCGCGGCCUAUCAGCUUGUUGGUGGGGUAAUGGCCUACCAAGGCGUCGACGGGUAGCCGGCCUGAGAGGGUGUACGGCCACAUUGGGACUGAGAUACGGCCCAGACUCCUACGGGAGGCAGCAGUGGGGAAUAUUGCACAAUGGGCGCAAGCCUGAUGCAGCGACGCCGCGUGGGGGAUGACGGCCUUCGGGUUGUAAACUCCUUUCGCUAGGGACGAAGCGUUUUUGUGACGGUACCUGGGGAAGAAGCACCGGCUAACUACGUG